Long non-coding RNA from Orcinus orca (killer whale), 744 nucleotides. RefSeq lists it as uncharacterized. The transcript has 2 exons. The record is from RefSeq and is a predicted model, not a curated record. NCBI's taxonomy places the organism in Eukaryota, Metazoa, Chordata, Mammalia, Artiodactyla, Delphinidae.
GCUCGUUACACUAAAAGAGUCAGAUCCUGGUUGUCCGGCCGGCGCACAUGACUUCUCUCUGUCAACGCCACGGACUUGGCUUUACUUGUUCUGUCCCCACCAAGCGGGGAGUGAGUGUCAGCAAAGACUAGGUGAUGUGAGCUGGGGUCGCGCUCCUGAGUUUGCAGCCCGGCUCUGCCCCGUGUGAGCGGCGAGACCUCGGGCAGGUGAUCUAAUCUGUCUGAACUUCUGUUUCCUCGUCCGCCAAACCGAAAAUAUUAAUGAUCGUAUAUGCAUCUUCGGCCUGUGGUGAGUGCCUGGACUGAAAGCACGCAGCGUAGUGCCGGGCACGGAGUAAACGCUCGAGCGCGUUUGCUCGCUCGCUACAGGUACCGUGACGCACAGGCCGACCUCGUGCUGUUGCUUCGAGCUUGGUUGUGCUUCGCGGAUUCUGCGUUUUUCACAAACUGAAGGUUUGUGGCAGCCCUGCCUCGAGCAAGUCCGUCGGUGCCGGUUUCCCCAGAGCCUUUGCUCGCUUUGUGCCCCGGGUCACGUUUUGAUCCUCCUCAACAUUUUUCAAGCUUUUUCAUGAUGAUUCUAUUUGUCGUGGUGACCUGUGAUCAGUGACCUUUGAUGUUACCAUUGCAAAAAGAUUACGACUCACUGAAGGCUCACGUGAUGUUCAGAAUUAAGGUAUGCACAUUUUUUUUUUUUUUUUUUUGCGUUUAUUUGAGACGGGGCUCAGAUAUGAAUCUCCGUAACCUG